RNAcentral lists this long non-coding RNA (4897 nucleotides) under Equus caballus (horse). RNAcentral describes it as "lncRNA (ENSECAG00000060260.1)". Lineage: Eukaryota; Metazoa; Chordata; Mammalia; Perissodactyla; Equidae. The record is from RNAcentral.
AGAAAAUGAGGUGAUAGGUGUAAAGUACUUAGAAUGGAAACGAAUACAUACUAAGCACUCAUAAAAGUUGUCAUUAUUUCUCUAAUUAUCUGACUCCUCUAGUGUUUCCUAAUCUUUCCCAUGUCAUGAUCUACAUAAAAAUGAUAUGAUUUGUACGGCGCGUUGGGAUAAAUGGAUGAGGCUGCUUGUGUUUGAGAUGAUCAAGCUGAGGGGCUUAUCCCACCUCAAGACCUUCCUGGCUGUCCUGAUGGCUGAGGGCUUGGACUUGAGGCUCACCUGUCCCCGUUUGUGGGAAAUUCUGACUUGGCAGACUGUGUUACCAAGAAUGAAGCUGAUUCUGUGUCUUUGUACCCUAUGUGCCCAGCACAAUUUCAUCACAUGCAGGCACUUAAUCAGUGGGUGGAUGGAUGGAAGACAGGAAGAGGCUCCCUUUCUUUGCCUGGCUAAAGUGAUGUGUUCUUCUUGUGGGAAAGCAGUGUUCACCAGCUAUGGCUUUGUUAUUUCCUGUCCAAAUAAUGCAUUUGACAUUCUAAAAUUACUGUAAAUUCUGUAAAAUCACUUUGGGGGGAGGGACAAGGCAAGUCUCUGAAAGGAUGCGUUGUCACAGAGUACACGAGGAGGUUGGCAGAGCAUCACACUGGAAGCCCCAGGAAAUGCUUGGUCAUUCACUGGCUCAGAAUAAGUCCUGCUGGGCAACAAUGUUCAUUCCUUAACAAGAGUCUAUUAGGGGUGUGUGCUUUAAGAUGGGGAGAGGGACGUCAGUCUGUUCAGCUGCAGCAAGAAGCCAAAAGUAGGUCAAGAAGAUCUUGGAAUGAAUGUCUUCACAGGGUCCAUAUGCCUAGAAGUAAGAAUGAGUCUCAGAUUCUGGUCUAGAUAAGAAACUAAAUUUCACUGGCUGGUGGACUCUGCUUUCUAAAUUGUUCAUUGUGAGAACUACAGUUCAAAAUAGCUUAUAUAAUUGAAAUGGCCAAAGAAAUAUUUAAAAAGUAGGAAAAAAUGUCUAUUAGUGAGAGGAAUCAAGGAAAAAUGCUAUUCACAUGCCAAAGUAAGGACUUUCUACAAGAUAGACCAAUGGUUUCCCAAAUUUGUACCACACCAUUUAACAAAUUUAAAGCAACUCACUUUUUUCAGUAUUUUAAAAAUUUUAUUUUAAUCUUAUAGAAAAAUUGCAAAAACAGUACAAAGAUGCUUGUAUACUCUUUUUUCAGAUUCUUUUUUUUUUUUUUUUGAGGAAGAUUAGCCCUGAGCUAACACCUGCUGCCAACCCUCCUCUUUUUGCUGAGGAAGACUGGCCCUGAGCUAACAUCCAUGCCCAUCUUCCUCUACUUUAUACAUGGGAUGCCUACCACAGCAUGGCUUUUUGCCAAGUGGUGCUAUGUCCACACCCGGGAUCUGAACCAGCGAACCCUGGGCAGCCGAGAGGCAGAACAUGCGCACUUAACCGCUGCGCCACCGGGUCGGCCCCUCAGAUUCAUUUUUAUCUUUGAAAAAUAAAGGUCACUUAUUUUGAAUUGUAAAUGGUUCCUUUUUGUGUCCUAAGGGUACUUGUUUGUGUUUUGCACAGAACUCUUUGCCUCUGGAUUCUGCAGUUGGUGGUAAAGUACUGAAACAUGCAGGCCUCAGGGCUUCCCUUUAUCUGUGAAACUGCAGAAGAGGCUGGCUUAGGCGAACUCAGGGAGUGGAGCUUCCACGAGGCAUCGCGAUUCAUUGGCCAGAAGUAUCUGCUCCAGCUGCCAGGCCACAGUUAUCAGUCCAGAAAUAGUUCUGAAAAUGAGGCCAGAACCCACGUUAAUGAAGCCUGAUUGCCUCAGAAUUAUUGUAUGAUGAAUUAGCAGCUUUGCCAGUAGCCCACGUGUGCGGGGUCAGUGACAAUUUAUGGUGAGUCACAUUUAAGUAGUUUCAUUCAAUUCAACCAGCAUUUACUGCAUCUACUAAGCACAGAGCCCUGGGCAGGCCCAGUGCAAGCAAAGGGACUGAAUUGAACAUCAAAUGACAGGGGUUCUAGGCCUACCUCUGCCAUAACGUUCUGGACAGGGAGAAGGGAGAGCGACAAGGAUUGCCACAGAAAAGGCUUAGGGAAGCAAAGCUUCACAAUGGCUGGCUUACCAACGCCAAGGAAAGCAAAAUGAAUUUCAGACCAACACUAGUCAAAAUUGAUAUCUAGAUGUCUAUAUGAGUCAGUAUCCUUUGGUUGCAAUUGACAGAAACCCAACUCUAACUAGUUUAACCAUGAACUACAAAGACAAAAACAAUGACAAACAAAAAAGAAAAUGUAAAGAAUUAUUUAACUGCAACAUUCAAUGGGUUGUCUAACAUCAGGAAUGGCUGGAUCCAGGUACUCAAAUGAUGGCCUUUGUCUUUGUUUUCUUCUAUAUCUGGUUUAUUCUUAGGCAUUCUUAUCAUCAUAGAUUGGGUUCCCCUACUCACCUACCACCACCCAAAGCAGUCUCCAGUGCAGGUAGUUUAUUUAGGAGAUGUGGCAACCAUGAAAAUGCACCACUCAGAUCUUAUGCUGCAGGAAGCAUCAUUGACUGACAGCCCUGCCAUUACCCUUCUGGAUGCACCACCAUGUUCAUGUGAAAGCCCCACUUCCCAUGGGCUGCUCCCAGUGAAUGACUGAGCACGGCGAGGCCAUUAAGGCAAGCCCAUUCCUGGACGAUGCAGGACUCCUCUGACACGUGGCUUUGAGUUGAGAAUCCCUCAUUGGCCUGGCCAUACUUGUCUUGGAACAGUGCUACGGUCUGUGAGUUUUCCUGACCAAUUAACCCUGCUUCCCUCUCCCCUUUACAGGAUGAGACCUAUCUGCUGCAGCUUCUCCUCUUUUGCCUUCACAAAUGUUUCUCCCAAUAAAGCUCUUGCACGUCUAAUCUCAUCUUGGCACCUUCUUCUCAGAGGCACCAAAUCAACACAGGAGGUAAUCUCAGGAAGCAUAAGGGAGAAAAUGGGGAAGGUGAGACAGAUAAGGGAGAAAAGUCAAUAGAAGGUGCACUAAUGAGCAGGUGACUGUUGUGGGCAAGUCAUCCUGGGGUUUUCUUAGAGACCAUGUGGGUCAUGCUCAGGAUCAUCCCACCAGAAGGCAGGGACCCUAUGGCACUUAUCUACUGUUUUCCAUUUCCCACUGGCAGAAGGUUUUCCAAGUGUAUCAGCUCUCUCACACUUCAGAGUUGCAGAGAAGUGUUCUGGGGCACCAACAAAAGACCAGGCAGAGAAGAAGGGAGAUAUAGAUGCCUGAGGUUGGAAACAGCCUAUUAUGGCUGUAGGUAAACUCAGGUGGGCCCGGGGAAUAUGGUGCAGGGCGUCAACAGCAUCUACUACAGUCAUGGUGGGAAAAAAGUAAUAAAGCACUACUGGUGGCUUACAAUAUCCCUAAAGAUAGCAAUUCCAGAGAAUGUUUCUCUCCCGAGAAUUUCCUGGGAGUGCCUCAGAUUGGCCAAACUCAUGUCACAUGGCCAUCGCUAAGCCAAUCACUGUGCCUGUGGAAAUGGAGUGUCCUGUCACACUGGGGUGUAUGAUCCAGCUGCCUCUCCAACUCACAUCUACUGAGAAUGGAGCAGGGAUGGCUCCCUGAAUGAUGUGCUGAGCAGAUGAAAAUCUUAUCACCACUACUGGAUACGGUCUUAAAGCUUGAAGAUGGAGGAAGAUUCCUGAUGGCAGAACUUUUCAGCAUCCGGUCAGGAGGUGCACACAGCUAAUGCCUAGAGACCUCAGUAUGACAUGGAUUCUCGGGAGCUAAGUUCACCCUAUAGCACACUGGAUACAAUUACCAGAUGUCACUUACUGGUGGGGAAGCAGCCCUUUGCUACCUCCAUGCUGAGCUUUCAUUAGCAGAGCCUUCGUUGGCUGGGUCCUCAGCGACUCAGGACAUGGGGAGCUGGAAUGUGGAAAUGGCAUCUUCUCAUUCCUAGACUCAUUGUCAGCCCUAGAGAAUGGCUGGCAAUCUCAAGGAUGCUGUUCUCCAGCUGCUUUCCACACUUUUCUUCAGCCACGGGCACAGGCCAUAUUUGUGUUUGGUUUGGGAGGUGGCCUCUGCCCCAGUGCCCUGUGGUGAGGAAACAGGAGAAGUGUACAAUUAACAAUUAACAGCUUUAUCUCUACUCAUAUGUAAGAGACGUAAUUAGCUGGCUCCAUCUGUUACUGAUACCUGCUGGAGUCAGCCAUUCACACUUCAGCCAGAUAUUACAGUGAGUGGGAGGGCCUGAAAAGGAAACAUUUCAAAAUAACUCACCUUUCCUUGUUUCAGACAUCCUACCCCCGUUCAGUCGGUCUCCAACUUUGCUUUCCUCAGGUGUACACAAUUUGCUGUCAGUUGGCAAGGAAGGGUGUUAGCUAACGAAUAUGGAAGCCAAUGGUGUGCAUGAUUUUCCCAGAAGCUGAGCUUUGAUUUAAAGAGAGAAGACUUCGUGUCUCUUGUGGCAGUAGUGGGGCACUGUCCCAGCUAGGGCCACAUCGCAGUACGCUGAUUGGUCUCAGUACUGAGAUGAAAUAUUUUCAGAGGGAAAGGCUAAAUUUGGAAGGACCAGCUGGAGCCUCUAGAGUAAGUCACUGGCCCAAGAUCAAUGUUACAAAGGUAGGAAGGAGAUGAGCUGAGACUUGCCUCUAAGCCUAUCCAACUCCAAAGUCCAUUUUCUAAAUCAUGACACAUCACUGAUGUUGGGGGAAGUUUUACGGACAUGAUGGUCUCAUGGGACUUAAGAAAGUCCAAGACCACUUUUAUUUUUGGAAGUCAAAACAGCCAUGCAAAGAUGAGGCAUUUAAAAAGAAAUAUUUCCACCUAGGUAAUUAAUGCUUUUAAUGUAAAAAGGUACAAUGCAAUAUAGUUGGGUUAUUCACAAGAUAAUUACAGGACUCAUAAAAUAUUAAUUCACAGCACAGUAUAAGUGGCAGAGCCUGAAUGGGG